This 253-nucleotide ribosomal RNA is filed under the name uncultured bacterium. RNAcentral describes it as "partial 16S ribosomal RNA". It matches the Rfam family "Bacterial small subunit ribosomal RNA", at positions 524 to 776 of the family's 1533-position model. The record is from RNAcentral.
GACGGAGGGUGCAAGCGUUGUUCGGAUUGACUGGGCGUAAAGGGCGUGUAGGCGGUCGGCCAGGUCUGAUGUGAAAGCCCGAGGCUCAGCCUCGGAAGUGCGUCGGAAACUAGUCGGCUGGAGCGCGAUAGAGGAGGGUGGAAUUCCUGGUGUAGCGGUGAAAUGCGUAGAUAUCAGGAGGAACACCGGCGGCGAAGGCGGCCCUCUGGAUCGUUGCUGACGCUGAGACGCGAAAGCGUGGGGAGCAAACAGG